This 684-nucleotide ribosomal RNA is filed under the name uncultured bacterium. Its description in RNAcentral is "bacterial SSU rRNA". It matches the Rfam family "Bacterial small subunit ribosomal RNA", at positions 1 to 736 of the family's 1533-position model. The record is from RNAcentral.
UAGAGUUUGAUCAUGGCUCAGAACGUACGCUGGCGGCACGCCUAACACAUGCAAGUCGAACGAAGUAGCAAUACUUAGUGGCAGACGGGUGAGUAACAUGUAGGUAUCUACCCCAUGGCCUGGAAUAACACGAGGAAACUUGUGCUAAUACCGGAUAAGUCUUUACGGAGAAAGCUUUAUGCACCAUUGGAUGAGCCUGCACUUGAUUAGUUUGUUGGUGGGGUAAUGGCCUACCAAGACUUUGAUCAAUAGCUGAUUUGAGAGGAUGAUCAGCCACAUUGGGACUGAGACACGGCCCAAACUCCUACGGGAGGCAGCAGUGGGGAGUCUUGCACAAUGGAGGAAACUCUGAUGCAGCGAUGCCGCGUGAGUGAAGAAGGCCUUUGGGUUGUAAAGCUCUUUCGUCGGGGAAGAAAAUGACUGUACCCGAAUAAGAAGGUCCGGCUAACUUCGUGCCAGCAGCCGCGGUAAUACGAAGGGACCUAGCGUAGUUCGGAAUUACUGGGCUUAAAGAGUUCGUAGGUGGUUGAAAAAGUUGGUGGUGAAAUCCCAGAGCUUAACUCUGGAACUGCCAUCAAAACUUUUCAGCUAGAGUAUGAUAGAGGAAAGCAGAAUUUCUAGUGUAGAGGUGAAAUUCGUAGAUAUUAGAAAGAAUACCAAUUGCGAAGGCAGCUUUCUGGAUCA